This 253-nucleotide ribosomal RNA is filed under the name uncultured bacterium. Its description in RNAcentral is "partial 16S ribosomal RNA". It matches the Rfam family "Bacterial small subunit ribosomal RNA", at positions 524 to 776 of the family's 1533-position model. The record is from RNAcentral.
UACGGAGGGCGCUAGCGUUGUUCGGAAUUACUGGGCGUAAAGCGCACGUAGGCAGCUUUGCAAGUCAGAGGUGAAAUCCUGGAGCUCAACUCCAGAACUGCCUUCGAUACUGAGAGUCUCGAGUCCGGGAGAGGUGAGUGGAACUGCGAGUGUAGAGGUGAAAUUCGUAGAUAUUCGCAAGAACACCAGUGGCGAAGGCGGCUCACUGGCCCGGUACUGACGCUGAGGUGCGAAAGCGUGGGGAGCAAACAGG